This 433-nucleotide ribosomal RNA is filed under the name uncultured bacterium. Its description in RNAcentral is "partial 16S ribosomal RNA". It matches the Rfam family "Bacterial small subunit ribosomal RNA", at positions 29 to 507 of the family's 1533-position model. The record is from RNAcentral.
AACGAACGCUGGGGGCAGGCCUAACACAUGCAAGUCGAGCGGACCUUUCGGGGUCAGCGGCGGACGGGUGAGUAACGCGUGGGAAUAUGCCCUUCUCUACGGAAUAGUCCUGGGAAACUGGGGGUAAUACCGUAUACGCCCUGUGGGGGAAAGAUUUAUCGGGGAAGGAUUAGCCCGCGUUGGAUUAGGUAGUUGGUGGGGUAAUGGCCUACCAAGCCGACGAUCCAUAGCUGGUUUGAGAGGAUGAUCAGCCACACUGGGACUGAGACACGGCCCAGACUCCUACGGGAGGCAGCAGUGGGGAAUCUUAGACAAUGGGGGCAACCCUGAUCUAGCCAUGCCGCGUGAGUGAUGAAGGCCUUAGGGUUGUAAAGCUCUUUCAGCUGGGAAGAUAAUGACGGUACCAGCAGAAGAAGCCCCGGCUAACUCCGUG